Molecule: transfer RNA, 80 nt
Filed under: Candidatus Izimoplasma sp. HR1
Lineage: Bacteria; Bacillati; Mycoplasmatota; Mollicutes; Candidatus Izemoplasmatales; Candidatus Izemoplasmataceae
Description: Candidatus Izimaplasma sp. HR1 tRNA
Rfam family: tRNA
About the family: Transfer RNA (tRNA) molecules are approximately 80 nucleotides in length. Their secondary structure includes four short double-helical elements and three loops (D, anti-codon, and T loops). Further hydrogen bonds mediate the characteristic L-shaped molecular structure. tRNAs have two regions of fundamental functional importance: the anti-codon, which is responsible for specific mRNA codon recognition, and the 3' end, to which the tRNAs corresponding amino acid is attached (by aminoacyl-tRNA synthetases). tRNAs cope with the degeneracy of the genetic code in two manners: having more than one tRNA (with a specific anti-codon) for a particular amino acid; and 'wobble' base-pairing, i.e. permitting non-standard base-pairing at the 3rd anti-codon position.
Source: Rfam by way of RNAcentral
GCGGGUGUGGCGGAACUGGCAGACGCGCUAGAUUUAGGCUCUAGUUCUUAGGAGUGCAGGUUCAAUUCCUGUCACCCGCA